AACGAACGCUGGCGGCAUGCCUAACACAUGCAAGUCGAACGAGACCUUCGGGUCUAGUGGCGCACGGGUGCGUAACGCGUGGUAACCUGCCCUUAGGUUCGGAAUAACUCCCCGUAAGGGGUGCUAAUACCGGAUAAUGUCUUCGGACCAAAGAUUUAUCGCCUUUGGAUGGGCGCGCGUUGGAUUAGCUAGUUGGUAGGGUAAAAGCCUACCAAGGCGACGAUCCAUAGCUGGUCUGAGAGGAGGAUCAGCCACACUGGAGCUGAGACACGGCCCAGACUCGUACGGAAGGCAGGAGAGGGGAAUAUAGGACAAUGGGGGAAAGCCUGAUCCAGCAAUGCCGGGUGAGUGAUGAAGGCCGUAGGGUAGUAAAGCUCUUUUACCCGGGAUGAUAAUGACGGUACCGGGAGAAUAAGCUCCGGCUAACUACGUG
RNAcentral lists this ribosomal RNA (433 nucleotides) under uncultured bacterium. RNAcentral's name for it is "partial 16S ribosomal RNA". It matches the Rfam family "Bacterial small subunit ribosomal RNA", at positions 29 to 507 of the family's 1533-position model. The record is from RNAcentral.